This 386-nucleotide RNase P RNA is filed under the name Paramuribaculum sp. RNAcentral's name for it is "RNase P RNA component class A". It matches the Rfam family "Bacterial RNase P class A". Rfam says of the family: Ribonuclease P (RNase P) is a ubiquitous endoribonuclease, found in archaea, bacteria and eukarya as well as chloroplasts and mitochondria. Its best characterised activity is the generation of mature 5'-ends of tRNAs by cleaving the 5'-leader elements of precursor-tRNAs. Cellular RNase Ps are ribonucleoproteins. The record is from RNAcentral. Lineage: Bacteria; Pseudomonadati; Bacteroidota; Bacteroidia; Bacteroidales; Muribaculaceae.
GCAGCCGGGCAUUUCGUCGCUCACUGAUGAAUAUGCGGUGUGAGGAAAGUCCGGGCAACAUAGAGCACCAUAUUUCUUAACUGGAAGCUGUGGGUGACCGCAGAGUAGUGUGACAGAAAACAACCGCCUUUGUUCCAAGAACCGAGGUAAGGGUGAAAAGGUGAGGUAAGAGCUCACCGGGUGGCAUAGUGAUAUGUCGCGCCGCAUGCCUUAUGGGUUGCAAGGCCAAGUAUACCGACAUUUAAGGGUUGCUCGCCCAUUGUCGGGGGGUAGGCUGCUAAAGCCUGCGGGUGACUGCAGGCUCAGAUAAAUGACGAAACACUAUGGUGUCCCCGCGAGGGUAGUGCCAUAGUUGACAUAACCCGGCUUAUCGCCCGGCUGCUUUU